ACUGCAACCCCUGAUCCUUAACCCACUGACCGAGGCCACUCAGGGAUACUGGUCAGAUUCUUAACCCAAUGAGCCACAAUGGGAACUCCCACAACUUCAGUUCUGCCUGAUGAUUCCACAGUGUCCCUGGCCAGGGACCAUUCCAGAAUUUUUCUUAGUCACAAUAGGCAUCCAGUAGCCACAGAUGCCACUGGAUCCAUCCAAACUCAUCCCUCAUGCCUCUUCCUAGGGAAAAAACUUUAAGGUUCUUGCUUUAGUGAUAAAUUCAUUCAACAAACGUUAAUUUUAUGACCUCAUUCUGGCAUCUGUUUUCAUGAAGCUGAUGUGGGAAGUCAGGAAAUUAAUGGUAAAGAAACAAAAAUUAAACUGCAGAGAGUGCUGAAUGCUGUAAAGAAAAUAUGGAGAGGAAAGAGUGUAACUGGGAGAGAGAGGCCCUCGGAGGACAUGAAGAGGGGAGUCAGGUGUUCAGUGAGACUGCAGUGUCCCCACAUUCGAAUGCAGUGUACUCCUGGAAACCAAGACAACAUCAGUUCUUAAUACAGUGAAAUCCUACUGCCUAUCCAUCAGGCUUUCAUUCAUGAAAAUCAUCAAAUGAGAAGGUAGAAAUGGUGAGAGGUAAAGUACAAUGUAAAUCUUAAAUUAAGAUGACCAAAGGAACACGCUGAAGUCUUAAGAGGAAACAUAUAUAUGAAGAACCGCAGCUUCAGGUUAGAGAGUCUAAUAAUGAAAGCCUCACCUGUUGCCCAGGUGAGGCAGAUGAAAGGAUGCACCACCAUCAGAGGCUUAGUUAGCUCUGCCAUCACCUGUGUAGGACAAAACAUGGAUGGUGUCUGCUCACCCUGGGACGCUGUCCUGCUCGCAGCCUCUAGGCUAUUCUCUGGCACAAGAGGUCCUGCUCUAUAUCACUUGAAUCUGUUGGACUCAGAAACGGGAGCCAGGGGAAAUACGGAAGCAGGACAAGAAGCAAGAAAACAGAGACCAAGAGAGAGGCCGAAGCAAAUUAAUGCUGAACACUGGGGAGAAGCCCAUCCUUCUUCAGCUGCUGGAGGAAAGUGAAUGAGCAAAUGAAUGAGCAAGUGAGUGAGGGAAGCUUGCCAAUCCUGCUUUCUGCAAAGGAAAUGUUUGCCACAUGGACAGAAAAGAUGACAGACCGCAGUUCCUCCAGCUGUAGCAAGAUUAAAAAAUGAAUACUAAUGAUUGAUUUCAAAUUAGGCAGCUCUUUUUCUUUUGCCUGCAGCUGAUGCGGUAAGGGAUAUGGAGUCUCAAGAGAUCACUGGUGUUUAGGUGGCUGUAACUCACCCAAUCACCAUUUUUUUUUUUUUAAGUCCUUGUUAUGUUCAGUUUCAUGAGACUUCAUGUUUUUAGCAUUUUAAUUGUGUUUGUUCACUCCAGUGAUGAAACAGAUUUUGUCCCCAGCCUGUUUUCCAUCUGGUUGCUUUGUAAUCAUAAACAAACUAGGUUAGAAGUGAUUUUUUUAAAGCCAAAACUCCCAUUUUCUAUUCUGUUUCAUGUAGGUGAGCACUGGAAUGAAAUUAUUUUCUAAUUUUCUUCAUGCGCAUUUAUUAUUUAGGGUGUGUAUGUGUGUAUUUAAAUAUAUGUAUAUAUCAUGUCUAUAUCUGCAUAUACUGUUAUAUGCACACAUUAAUAUUUGUAUGUGUAUAUAUAAUACUGAUAUAUGCAGAUAUAUACAUGCACAUACCUCUAGUUUUUCUCAUUUAUUGGCCCUUUAAAGAUUUUCUGUUAUAUUCUUUCAGACUGUCAUAGUUUUAGGACAUGACCUGUGACCUCAGGUGUGUGCAGAAAGCGGACAUCACCAACCGGGGAAGGCGGGUUUGUUUUGACCGCCGUAUCAGGAAGGAAAGGGUUGUAUAGACGUGAACUGGAGAACUCAGUGAGCAUGUCUGACAUGCUGAAAGUGGUGUGUUGGCCCCAGGGAAGCCUGGAAGGGUGGUGCCCUCCACACCAUCUCUGUCCUGUGGGUCCAGGCAGUAAGGACGUUGAGGACGGAUCCUCUGCUGGGUGGGCCAUCAGUGCCCUCAGUGAAGGUAAACUCACACCCUCACAUCGUAGCAGUUCUUUAAAACCAAUCCUGUCUUUAUUUAGAAAGAUGCAGCGGGUGGUGAGGGGAGCCAGCAGAGGAGCUGGGCAGGAUGGGGCAGGGCGGGGUGAUUAGCACGCAGCCGUCUUUCUGUUCUUUAUAGAUCUGCCCACCUAGCCUGCCAGUUCAACUUUAGGGAAAGAUCCUAGAGACUAGAGAUGGUCCUGUGUCUCUCCGUGAGCAGCCCAGGGUCAGUGCUCCACACAGCCAGCUGGGGGACCAACGGGCUCUCCUUCUGCUCUCAGUGGCGGCCAGGUGCUGCCUGGUCCCCUGCAGCUGCACACGAGGCCCUGGAGAACCCGGAGCACUGCUGCUGCCUGGCAAAUAUUGCACGUUAGUGCCCCUAGAUAAGGGCCCCUAGAUGGGCAGCUGUGGCAAGCAGGGCUCUGAACAGGCUGGGAAGGCCAUUCUGGGUCCUGUUUGUACCUAUGCGUAGCUGCUGAGAUGUUAUGGGGUCAGGGGAAGACCAGGAUGAGAGUGCACAAGGGGUGCAGGAGGAGAAAGGAGAGGGCCUCUCUCCUUCCCUCUUAUCUAUCACCCUCCAUGGGCCACAUAUGCUCCUCUAUGCUUCUUUUGAAUCUGGAUGCUAUUUUAGGGGUCACUAGAAACAAAGAAUAGUGAAAGAAAAGCUUGCUCCUAGAUACAUACCUAAAUGCAUGCCCAAGCUAUCCUUAACUUACAGGACUAUGCAACGUUGUCAAGACUCAAGGAGGGGUCUCCCCUCCUGCCUGCUUCAGAACUGGGCUCCAUCAAGUACCCUCUCUCCAAAUCUUCAACUUCCUUACAUUUCCAGGCUCUUUUCUCUGGAAGCUAGCCCACAAAUACAAGAAUGCAUGCAAGAAUCUAUCAGCCAAAGGAAAACAAACAUUUAUUUGAAUUGGUGCUACCUCAAUAAGUGUCCCCUUCCUUUUUAUACAAAUUCUCCAAAGAAUAGCUGACACCCACUAUCUCUACUCCUUCACCAUAUGUUUGCUCUCAGGGCGUUGUGAUCUGUCUUCUGAGCUUCUGUUUGAAGGUUCUCAUUGUUCACCAAAGCCCAUCUCAUUUUCAGCCAGUGGACUCUAUUUAUUCUUUAUCUAUCUGGACCUCCUUGAGGCACUGACAUCAGAAUGUAAAUCUUAUCUGUGCAGAGAUUUCUGUUUUGUUCUCUGCUCUAUCCACAGCAUCUGGAAUAGCGCCUGGUAUGGAGUCUGGGCUCAGUAAGUAUUACCUGAAUGAAUAAACUGAUGAGUUCUUUCCCAAGACUAACUGAAGCGUCCACUCCUGGGCUUUGGUGACUCAGCACCCUCCUGGCUCUCCUUCCUGACCAUCCUUUUUGCUUCUUUCACAGAGACCUUUCAGUGAACAUCCUUGUGUUUUGCUGUUCCCCAGGGCUUUUCAUCCUACUUUACUCUGAGUAAUCUUAUCAACUGGAUGUUUUCGUGACCUCUGCAUGCUGAGGAGUCCCAAAUUAUAUCCUCAGCUGGGACCUGUCUUUGGAAUUUCAGGCUCAAAUAUCCAAACAUCUGUUGGUCAUCUUUCCCUUGCACCCUAUAAAAUAUCUCAAAAAUCAACCUUUACUGAACCCUCAGUCUCAUCCCCAGAUCUGCUUCUUCUCUUGAUCUCCAGUUAUGGUAGCGCCCCUAGCCCUUAUCACCAGAGCCAGUGUUAGCAAGGACUUUAGUAUGAGCCCCUGCUUGGAGUUAGUCACAUCUUUUUUGUGUCCGGCCAACUGGAAGGGCGGAUCUGCCUUGGAAACCUGUUUACACAAGGGAUUACAAGUUCUCUCGGGAAAGGACUCAUCCUAAGGGAUGGACAGAGUAGGCUGGCUUGAAAUUGCUGACUCUAGAAAAGCUGAUGGUCACUUUUUACCUUUUCUCCCUUUUAGAUUCCCUUGGGAUAGGAAACUCAGCACUUAUUAUGGUGACCCUUAAUAUAAUCCUACUUAUGCUAACUUGCCUCUUCAAAGUUUUAAAAAUUCGCCUCUGCAUCCUGAUCAUUUAUUUGCCUGUUUGCCCUCAGCUCUGGUCCCCAGCUUUCCUCUGCUCUGCUCUGCAUUGCAGGAAAGUGCAUUUCCCUCAUCAGUGGGGUUCCAGGUAGGGUUGGCCAUGGGAGGCACUGCUGGAAGGCUGGAAGGUGGUGGCAGGGUGUUUUCCCUCCCCUGCUCUGCCUUUGACAGCCUCUUCCCGUGAGAGCUCUACUUCCCACCAGAUGCCUCAGCUUUGGCUCUGCUAACUCUACCUCCUCCCUUUGUCCUUCCAGCCUAGGGGUAACAGGGACUUCUUGAUUUCUCAUUUGCAAACCUCCAGAUUGCUCCUUUUGCCUCGCUUGGGCUUUUCAUCAGCUUCAUCACUGGACAAUCAACCCACUAUAUUAGUUUUCCCUCUCUUUGAAAGACCCCGGUCAUCCCCCUCCUAUGUUUCUCUAUCCCUGUGUCCCACCUCAUCUUCCUUCCUCCAGUCUUUAAAUUACCUUGAACCUGCUAUAGCAAUGUGUCUGUAACACAAAUCUGAUCUCGCCACUUCCAUGUUUAAAACCCUUCCAUGAUUUCAUGCACAUCUAGGAAAAAUUCUAGACCAAACACACCCAACAGGGUGGCCAUUAGCUACAUGUGACUAUUCAGCACUUGAAAUGUGGCCAUCAGAAUUGAGAUGUGCUUAUUAUAAGAGUGAAAUACUCAGUGUAUUUUGAACACUUAGUGCAAAAGAAAGCUCAAAAAAUACCUCAUUAAUUCCUUUUAAUGUCAAUUAUGUGUUGAAAUGAUAAAAAUUGAUUAUAUUAGGUUUAAAAAAUAUUUUUUUAAUUAAUUUUAAAUUUUACCUGUUUAUCUUUUUUUUUUUUUUUUUUUGUCUUUUUAGGGCUGCACCUGUGGCAUAUGGAUGUUCCCAGGCUAGGGGUUGAAUAGGAGCUGCAGCUACUGGCCUGUACUACAGCCACAGGAAUCCAGGAUCCAAGCUGCAUUUGUGACCUACACAUAGUUCAUGGCAAUGCCGGAUCUUAGCCCACUGAGUGAGGCCAGGGAUCAAACCUGCAUCCUCAUGGAUACUAGUCAGAUUUGUUUCCAUUGAGCCACUCCUAUCUGCUUUUAAAAAAAAAAAAAAUUAUUGGAGUGUAGUUGAUUUGCAAUAUUGUAUUAGUUUCAGGUAUACAGCAAAGUGAAUCAGUUAUACAUACACAUAUAUCCAUUCAUUUUCAGAUGCUUCUCCAUAUAGGUUGUUAUGUUUUUGCUGGGCUUUUAAAAUGCGUAUAUUACAAAAUUAAAAAAUAUAAAUGCGGCUUUGCAUUUCUUUGGGGCAGCACUGUUCCAGACUAUGAGGCCCCCGGGAUCUCCACCCUGCUCACCUCUCCAGCCUCACUGACACCACAUGCUGCUUUUCACUUUAGGCUCUAGGAAAAACAGAGUCAGGAUCUACUAGUUCUGACCCUUCCACCCCACCGCACCCCAGGUCAGUUAGCGUCACACUCCCAACUACUAGGGGUCAUGCCCACCCCCACCUGCAGACUCACCCCCACCAGGAAAAAGAAAGGAAUGCUGAGAAGAGUCCAGAUAAUGCAGAUGCUGGGUUGAAGGCUGAAACUUUCCAGGAGAGGCUCAAAAAUGUCGUGUGUUAAAACUUGGUGCACCUCCCUGAAAGAUCUUGCUGGGUCUUCUCUUAGCUUUGAUUCUUCCUUAGAUAGUUGUUGAUGCUCUUGAGUCAUCCAUUCACCCCGAGGCUGGUGGAAUAUGAGAAACCAGAUCCUUCCUUCUCUUCCUUCCAUUCAAAGGAAUGGUCCUGUAACUCAUCAGCUUCAAAUAACAGAGUAGCCCCUGCUCCUAAUAAAGCGGGCUUACCCAGGCUAUGCUCUGUGUCUGCAGCUCUUGCUUGGAGGCUGCAGUGGAAGUUGAGGAAAGAUGGGGUCAAGGUUUCAGAGGUGUUGAUCCUGAUAGCUCAGAGGCACAGCUAAGGCACACCACACUGUGUCCUGGCUCUGGGCCUUUGCUCAUGUACCCUCUGCCCCACUCCCUACUUCUUCCCUCUCCCUGCUCACUCCACUUGUUCUAAAAGAUGCAUUUCAGCUGUUCUUCUGGGCUUGCUUUCCUGACCCCUGCCUAUUAACACCAAUGUUGGAUUUAUCACAUCUUCUUUUUACCAAUCUGUCAGUAUGGCUCUCUCCCUCAUUGCACUGUGUGAGUGUCUUAAUAAUGGCAACAUUAUCUUGUUCAUCUUCGACUCUAGUGCCUGGCCAGAGCAAUGAUCAGUUAAUAUUAAAUGAAUAAAUGGAUGGAUAGAUGGGUGGGACGGGGGUGUGAAUGAUGAAAGUAUUUCUGAGAUUCCCCAUAGUACCUGACAUAAUGUGUUACACAAAUGGAUCCAUAAAUAUUACCAUUUAACUGACGGAAAGUUAGGUUCCAAGAUAUGCUCAUUAAACUAAGCUACAAAAUCAAAAUAAAAACCAGAUUGCUGGUCUUGCUGCCAGUAUUUUUGUAUGUCAGGAAUACCCCCAGAUUUGGAUUAAGUUUGGGGCCAGUUUAGCUGUAGACCCGGACAAAGACGGAAGAGGCAGAUUGGCAGAGUGACGAGCUGUCACGUUUCCAACAGGACAAACAGCUCAUCAGCCAAGAACUCUCUCUCUCAGAUGUCAAUUUACACAUUUCUCAAUUAAUGAUUAAAUUCAUUGCUAUCUUUUUUGUUUGUUUGUUUGCUUUUUAGGGCCGCACUCUCGGCAUAUAGAUGUUCCCAGGCUGGGGAUCAAACUGAAGCUGUAGCUGCUGUCCUACACCACAGCUCACAGCAAUGAGGGACCAUUGAGAGAGGCCAGGGAUCAAACCCGAAUCCUCAUGGAUACUAGUCGGAUUCGUUUCCGCUGAGCCACAAUGGGAACUCCCUCAUUGCUAUCAUUUUUAUCUUGAAUUUAAUACUAGUGUAUCCGAAGGUAUACUGACUCCAGAGUGGGAAACCCGAGUCCUGGUUAAUAUCAGGAUUUCCUGACAAGUCAUGUAUUCCCUCUGAAUCUCUUUUUUCAUCAGAAACUGGGAGAAAUAGCACUUACUCUGCCUAUUUCACCAGGUUGUGGUGAGAAUCAAAUUGAAUUAGGUUCAUGAAGAGCUUUGUAAACUAUAAAAUGUUGUACAAAUGUUGGCUAUUAUAAUAGUAUUGUAUAUCAUUUCUCAAUUCCACAGGGACUUAGAAGGAAAUAGUUGAAUAAGAACAUAAUUUGAUAGAAAUAUUUGCACAUUCAAUUAUGUUUUAUCGCAGCCUACCUGCCCAAAUAGUUUUUUAAUCUGUAUUAAUCUUAAAUGCUGUUUUUAUUAGCUGGAGUUUCAAAACACUUUAAUAAACAAAUCUCUCUGUGUAUAGAAUCCAAUCUUUCUAUUUGUCAUGUUGGCAGUCUCAAUUAAAUGCCCUGACAUGCAUUUUAAUUCUUUUUUUAAAAUAAAUAAGACACUUAUCCCUUUUGAAGCUGAAGAUGGACUAGGAAAUAUUUUGCUGGCCCAGAGUCAUAUGUGUGUGGGGGUACAUGUGUGCAUGUGCAUGUGUGUAUGUGCAUGCAGGAUGGUCAUUACUUUAUUGAGAACUUUGUUCGAUUCUAGCUCAACACUGGCUUUUUCCAUGCCCUUAUGUUUACUUAAUCAAAUUUUAAGAAUAGUAUUUAAAUUAUAACUUACAGUAGGAUGAAUAAUGGUCCCUAAUGAUAGCAUGUCCUAAUCCCUGGGACCUGUAAGUGUAACCUUAGAUGGAAAAGGGAUCUUUGCAAGUAUAAUUAAAUUAAGGUGUUUGACAUGGGGAAAUUCUCCUGGAUUAUCCAGGAGGACCCCAAAUGCAAACACAAUUGUCCUUGUAACAUAGAGACAGAGGGACCAUUGACAUGCAGACUCAGAGGAGAAGACCACAUGACCACGGAGGCAGAGAUGAAGUGAUGUGGCCAAAAGCCAUGGAAUGCUGGCAGCCCCAGAAGCUGGGAGCAGCAAAGAGUAGUCUCUCAGAACCUCCAGGGAGUGACUCUGCUGGCACCUUGAUUUUGGCCCAUCGACACUUACUUUGGAUUUCUGGCCUCUAGAGCUGUGAGCAAAUAAAUUUGUGUUGUUUGAAGCAGCCAACUUUGUGGCCAGUCAUUUUAAUGACUUUAGGAAACUCACACUAACCCUUCAUGUGACUCAGCAGGAAAGGCACUUACUUAUAAGAACUAGUUAUAGAUCAGUGAUUCCUAACUUCCUCUGGAUUUAAUAAAAAUGUGUUACUUGGAGUUCCCGUUGUGGCGCAGUAGUUAACCCAUCCGACUAGGAACCAUGAGGUUGUGGGUUCAAUCCCUGGCCUUGCUCAGUGGGUUAAUGAUCCGACGUUGCCGUGAGCUGUGGUGUAGGUUGCAGACACGGCUCGGAUCCAGCGUUGCCGUGGCUCUGAUGUAGGCUGGCCACUACAGCUCCAAUUAGACCCCUAGCCUGGGAACCUCCAUAUGCUGCGGGAGCGGCCAUAGAAAAGGCAAAAAGACAAAAAAAAAAAAAGUGUUAACUGAGUUCUGUAAGGUACUGAAAUGGUGCUGGGUGCAUUAAGGCACAUAAAGAAGUAGGAAACACUAUCUUUCCCCCAGAGAGGCUUGCCAUCUCGUUGAAGAACCAAAACAAAUAGAAACAAAACAUUGAGCACAUAAUUCAAGACAGUGCUUAAGUCGAUGGAUGAAGUCCUCACGUGGUGUGAACAAAGUGAGCUGAGUUAAGGGCCAGGAUGAACAAAGUGGUCACAAGCAGGGAGUCUGUCAAAACUUUGGGGUCGAAAGUUCAUGAUGGGAAAAAGUGAAAAUAAGUUCAGCAGUUAGGAAGGGACCCCUUGCAGAGGGAAAAUCAAACACUAGACCAUCAGCUUGAUAUUAGAGGAAGCAGGGACCAUUAACUGUUUGGAGGCAGAAGAGUCAAAGGAUGAAAGCCAUGCCUAAGGAAGGCUCAUUUGUUUCUGGUGAGGCAGGUUGUACAUUCUAGUUUGCUUGGCAGUCUCCUUUCUCCCAGUAGACAGUAUGCCUGCAUCUGCAUAAUUGCUUCCAGACCCCAGAUGGGAACCAAACCACCUUGAACCCAGCCUGGGUUCCGACCAUCAUAAGCCAUGUUGACCUUUAGCCAGUCCAGGCUUCUCAUCUGUGCCCUGGACAGUGCUUCCUCACCGGGAUCACAUAUUGAGUUAACAAAGGUAAAGCAAAUGGUUGUAGAGGGCUUAGCUCAGUGCAGGCUGGUACCUAGCACCCUGUGCUGUCCUGGAUGCAAUUAGCCAGGCCCUUCUUGCACUGUGCACUUCUUGCACUGUGACAUUAUUUUUUAGAAUAAAUUUUUGAACUUUUUCCUGAGAAAUGUUUGGUACAGCUGUGAUGCUGCUUGGGAUAAUUAGAAACAUUCUGGGAUGUCAGAAAUAAGAAAUACUUCUUUCAGUGUUCCCAAGUAGAUGUAAUUGAUAUAUCCCCAGAUUUGCCAGCUAAAAAACAAGAAUAUUCUUCCCUUAGUAUCCAAAUAGAAAUGAAGCCCUACUCAGGGGCCACAGGAAGCCCCCUGUCUUUCUCUCUUUCUAUAUUUCUGUCUCUGUUUUCACUGUGUCUGCCCUGUAGCAUAUGGAGCUCCCCAGCCAUGGAUCAGAUCCAAGCUGCAGUUGUGACCUAAGCCACAGCUGCAGCAACCCUGGAUCCUUAACCCACUGUGCCAGGCUAGGGGCUGAACCUGUAUCGCUGUGCUCCUAAGACGCCACCGAUCCCAGUGCACCACAGCAGGAACUCCCCAUCCCCUUUCUGAAUAUACCUCUCAAGUGGUUUCUGGACAUCCUGGAGGAAGGCAUACAAUUUGUUGAAUCCUGGCUCUCUGGAGCUCUGCGAAUCUCCUAGUUCAGACUGUGUUUGGCUUCUUCAGGCUGGUCUUGGCCCCCGUGCCUGGUGCACUGAGCAGGAACUCUGGUUGCUCCCUCUGGUCCUCAUAGCCAAGCAGAGACUGGGCUUUGGAAGGGGAAACAGACAUCCAGCCUAAAGAGUAAUAGGCACUGCUGCUCAGGUGCUCCUAAGGGUCCUGUGCCCAGACCCAUCUGAGACCAAGGAGUAUUAAAGGAAACUUCUAUCAGGCGGGGCCAGGUCAAUCCCCACCAAAGAGCAUGCCCAGGCAUCUUCCUACCAUGGCGUCCAGCCACAGGAAGAGAAAUUCCUUCCCUCCUCCAUCCUGGGCCAACUCAUUCCCACACAAGAUGGCUGUCAGUGGGAAAAUCCAUUUUCCUCAGCAAGGCUUAACCCCCACACAUGGCUAGGCUUCCUCCACAGACCAGACAAAGCCCUCGAAUGGUUAGUUAUAUGUCAGGACACUGAUGAUCAAAUCCGGAGAGCCCUGGUCUGUGCCUGUUUCCACCUUCUCAAGGUCUUCCUCAGCUUUCAGCUUAAGGUGAAGGUAAGUCAGACUGCUUCUCCCUCCUGCUGUGGCUCAGGUUCACAACCCCUUGUACAUAUUUGUGCAUUAAGACACCCAAAUAACUUCAUGAAACAAGAAUCUUCAAGGACAAUCCAGCCUCACCUCCAUCCUUAAUUUUCAUUCAACAAAUAUUUUUAAAUGCCUAUUAUGUGGCCAGCACUGCUUUAGGGACUGGAAUACAGCAGGGAACAAAGCAAAACCCUACCCUCGGGGUCUGGUGUUUCAUUCUGGUGAGGGGAAGCAGUAAACAAACAUAAAACUGGGAUCUAUCAAUUGAAUGUACUUGCUGAAAAGGAAUAAAAGCCGAGGGAAGGGAUAAGCAGUGAUGGGGGAGAAUAUCUGCAGAGGGUAAAGAGGGAGGGUUUUUCUGAUAAGGAUACAUUUGAGCAGGGUCCUGAAUCAAGGGAAGGGGCAUGACAGGGGCUAACGACACCCCGGCAUCCUUCAUCCUUCAGUGGCUUUUGUAACAGUACCUCAGAGCUCUUGCUAAGCCAAUAGAUGACAUCUGUACUGAUGAUAUUUCCCAGCUUUCCUUGCAACUCUGGGUGCCAUGGACUAAUUUGGGGCCAACUGGAUCUGAGAAGUGAUGUGUGUAACUUCUGAGUCAUCUUUUUAAAGACAUUUACUUUUUUCCUGCCAACUGGGAAAUGGUAACAACUGGAGCAACCUUGGAGACCAUACCGUGAGAUGGGAGAGCUGCCCUGACAUGAGAGAGAAAUACAAUUCUAUUCUGAAUUAAGUGCUAUGUUUGGUUAGAGUCGCUUGGCUUGUAGCUCAGCUAAUUCACAGAAGGAGCUGUGUGGGUUUGUAGGGAGGCACUUUUCUAGCAAGGGUAAUAGUGUCAGCAGAGACUGUAAAGUAGGAACUUACCAGGAAUGUUAGAGGAACAGCAAAGAGGUCACUGGCGUUGGAGUGGAGCAGUAGGAGAUGAAAUUAGGAAAGUGUCAGAGGAGAGAUCAUGUAGUCCGUGGGCACCUUCCCUGCGGCUUGGGGUUUUAUUCUUGUGAGCUGUGGAUGUACGGCUGGAGCAAAGGAAUGACAUGAUGUGACUCUGGUUUUCAAAAGAUCAUCCUCACUGUUAUGAAUAGAGCAUGGAAGCAGGGUGGAAAUGUGGAGAGACUAGUUUAGAGGUUAUCACAGUAUCCCAGCAAGAGAGCACAGUGGCUUGAAGUAGGGUGCCAAUGGUGGUGCACUUACAGCGUUUUUCUCAAGUGUGCUAUUUCCCAUGUACUGAUGAAUUGCAAAUGAGAGAAAGAAGUGCGGGUGAUAAGUAUAGAAGGAAUUGACAUGGGAAUUAGAAGAUCAUAUGAGGAGGUCUGGGAGUGGAGGAGUUAAGUGACUUACGUUUUCUUUGCUCACAAGCUUUGUAUGACCACCUUCUGUUUACGUAAUUGUAAUUAAGCUUAUCUCAGCCUCUAUCAAUCAGACUCUACAGCAUGAACUCUGCCACCUGUCUUUCCUCUAUUUGACCUCUGCUCUGUCUUCCUGUCUUUAGUCUAAGUCUAAUUCAGCCCAUUCAUCCAUUUGGGGAGACGUUCAGUGUCAGCAGAAGAUAGUGAUCUCUGAGUGACAUACCUCAAUUACCUUCUUUCUCAAAAGCACUUAGGGAAAGAGAAAAUGAGAACAGGGAUAAGGACUCAAUGUUGGAGAUAUGCACUGUAAUUGGAGAAGGGAUGGGAGGUUGAAAUGCUGAGGAAAGUCAGGAGGGAGGAGAAAGCCCAAGGCUGGGACUGUGGGGAAAAGUGAAAGUUGUGCAGAGGGAGACGGGGCAGGUAUGAAUGGACCAGAGGUGAGGGGAAAUGAUGACAGUCCAUGCUAGGGACCAGCAAACAGGAGGAAUGACCUUGCUUCUCCUUUUGUAAUGGAGCAGAUAAUACGUGCCCUGUAAAUCACUGGGAUCAAGUAAUCUUGAGGAAGUGGUCCCAAGAGAAUUGUCACACUUUCAAGAUCUGAUUAUAAAUUAGGUAUGAGCCCAGUUGUUCCUAUAGGAAACACGGCAAUGUUAGCACCAUCCUCUGUCCAAGGGUGUACAAAUGACUUAAUGUGAGAAACCCUUCUUCAUUUCCAGGGGAAAAUUAUCCAUGGCCAUUUCAAGCCAUCUAGGGAAACCCAAACCCAAACUCCAGGGAUGACUUUGUUUUGUCAUUUGAUAAGAGAACGUUCCCAGAAUGGGCAGUCAUUGAAAGUGGAACAGGAUAACCUUAAAGCUGCUUUAGAGACUGGAAAAUAUUCAGCAUUAUGAAGCAAACAUGGAGGGACACAUGUUUUAAAUCAGUGAUUAACACGUUAAAUACAUGUUUAUGCAAGGGGCGCCUUCUUCUUCUUUUUUUAAAUUUAUUUUUUUGUUAUUCAAUGAAUUUAUUACAUGUACAAUGAACAUCACAUAAUCACCAUUUCCCUUUAUGAUUUGUAGCUAACAAUAAAUUUUUUUUUUUUUUUUUUUGUCUUUUUGCCUUUU
Sus scrofa (pig) is the source of this 12942-nucleotide non-coding RNA. The record is from RefSeq and is a predicted model, not a curated record. Lineage: Eukaryota; Metazoa; Chordata; Mammalia; Artiodactyla; Suidae.